GGGUUGUGAGGUUAAGCGACUAAGCGUACACGGUGGAUGCCCUGGCAGUCAGAGGCGAUGAAGGACGUGCUAAUCUGCGAAAAGCGUCGGUAAGGUGAUAUGAACCGUUACAGCCGGCGAUGUCCGAAUGGGGAAACCCAGUGUGAUUCGUCACACUAUCGUUAACUGAAUACAUAGGUUAACGAGGCGAACCGGGGGAACUGAAACAUCUAAGUACCCCGAGGAAAAGAAAUCAACCGAGAUUCCCCCAGUAGCGGCGAGCGAACGGGGAGCAGCCCAGAGUCUGAAUCAGCUUGUGUGUUAGUGGAACGGUCUGGAAAGUCCGACGGUACAGGGUGAUAGUCCCGUACACCAAAAUGCACAGGCUGUGAACUCGAAGAGUAGGGCGGGACACGUGGUAUCCUGUCUGAAUAUGGGGGGACCAUCCUCCAAGGCUAAAUACUCCUGACUGACCGAUAGUGAACCAGUACCGUGAGGGAAAGGCGAAAAGAACCCCGGCGAGGGGAGUGAAAAAGAACCUGAAACCGUGUACGUACAAGCAGUGGGAGCACCUUUAUGGUGUGACUGCGUACCUUUUGUAUAAUGGGUCAGCGACUUAUAUUCUGUAGCAAGGUUAACCGUAUAGGGGAGCCGCAGGGAAACCGAGUCUUAACUGGGCGUUAAGUUGCAGGGUAUAGACCCGAAACCCGGUGAUCUAGCCAUGGGCAGGUUGAAGGUUGGGUAACACUAACUGGAGGACCGAACCGACUAAUGUUGAAAAAUUAGCGGAUGACUUGUGGCUGGGGGUGAAAGGCCAAUCAAACCGGGAGAUAGCUGGUUCUCCCCGAAAGCUAUUUAGGUAGCGCCUCGUGAACUCAUCUUCGGGGGUAGAGCACUGUUUCGGCUAGGGGGUCAUCCCGACUUACCAACCCGAUGCAAACUACGAAUACCGAAGAAUGUUAUCACGGGAGACACACGGCGGGUGCUAACGUCCGUCGUGAAGAGGGAAACAACCCAGACCGCCAGCUAAGGUCCCAAAGUCAUGGUUAAGUGGGAAACGAUGUGGGAAGGCACAGACAGCCAGGAUGUUGGCUUAGAAGCAGCCAUCAUUUAAAGAAAGCGUAAUAGCUCACUGGUCGAGUCGGCCUGCGCGGAAGAUGUAACGGGGCUAAACCAUGCACCGAAGCUGCGGCAGCGACACUAUGUGUUGUUGGGUAGGGGAGCGUUCUGUAAGCCUGCGAAGGUGGCCUGUGAGGGCUGCUGGAGGUAUCAGAAGUGCGAAUGCUGACAUAAGUAACGAUAAAGCGGGUGAAAAGCCCGCUCGCCGGAAGACCAAGGGUUCCUGUCCAACGUUAAUCGGGGCAGGGUGAGUCGACCCCUAAGGCGAGGCCGAAAGGCGUAGUCGAUGGGAAACAGGUUAAUAUUCCUGUACUUGGUGUUACUGCGAAGGGGGGACGGAGAAGGCUAUGUUAGCCGGGCGACGGUUGUCCCGGUUUAAGCAUGUAGGCUGGUUAUCCAGGCAAAUCCGGAUAAUCAAGGCUGAGGUGUGAUGACGAGGCACUACGGUGCUGAAGUAACAAAUGCCCUGCUUCCAGGAAAAGCCUCUAAGCAUCAGGUAACACGAAAUCGUACCCCAAACCGACACAGGUGGUCAGGUAGAGAAUACCAAGGCGCUUGAGAGAACUCGGGUGAAGGAACUAGGCAAAAUGGUGCCGUAACUUCGGGAGAAGGCACGCUGGUGUGUAGGUGAAGUCCCUGCGGAUGGAGCUGAGACCAGUCGAAGAUACCAGCUGGCUGCAACUGUUUAUUAAAAACACAGCACUGUGCAAACACGAAAGUGGACGUAUACGGUGUGACGCCUGCCCGGUGCCGGAAGGUUAAUUGAUGGGGUUAUCCGUAAGGAGAAGCUCUUGAUCGAAGCCCCGGUAAACGGCGGCCGUAACUAUAACGGUCCUAAGGUAGCGAAAUUCCUUGUCGGGUAAGUUCCGACCUGCACGAAUGGCGUAAUGAUGGCCAGGCUGUCUCCACCCGAGACUCAGUGAAAUUGAACUCGCUGUGAAGAUGCAGUGUACCCGCGGCAAGACGGAAAGACCCCGUGAACCUUUACUAUAGCUUGACACUGAACAUUGAGCCUUGAUGUGUAGGAUAGGUGGGAGGCUUUGAAGCGUGGACGCCAGUCUGCGUGGAGCCAACCUUGAAAUACCACCCUUUAAUGUUUGAUGUUCUAACGUUGGCCCCUUAUCGGGGUUGCGGACAGUGUCUGGUGGGUAGUUUGACUGGGGCGGUCUCCUCCCAAAGCGUAACGGAGGAGCACGAAGGUUAGCUAAUCCUGGUCGGACAUCAGGAGGUUAGUGCAAUGGCAUAAGCUAGCUUGACUGCGAGCGUGACGGCGCGAGCAGGUGCGAAAGCAGGUCAUAGUGAUCCGGUGGUUCUGAAUGGAAGGGCCAUCGCUCAACGGAUAAAAGGUACUCCGGGGAUAACAGGCUGAUACCGCCCAAGAGUUCAUAUCGACGGCGGUGUUUGGCACCUCGAUGUCGGCUCAUCACAUCCUGGGGCUGAAGUAGGUCCCAAGGGUAUGGCUGUUCGCCAUUUAAAGUGGUACGCGAGCUGGGUUUAGAACGUCGUGAGACAGUUCGGUCCCUAUCUGCCGUGGGCGCUGGAGAAUUGAGGGGGGCUGCUCCUAGUACGAGAGGACCGGAGUGGACGCAUCACUGGUGUUCGGGUUGUCAUGCCAAUGGCAUUGCCCGGUAGCUAAAUGCGGAAGAGAUAAGUGCUGAAAGCAUCUAAGCACGAAACUUGCCCCGAGAUGAGUUCUCCCUGAGACUUUAAGUCUCCUGAAGGAACGUUGAAGACGACGACGUUGAUAGGCCGGGUGUGUAAGCGCAGCGAUGCGUUGAGCUAACCGGUACUAAUGAACCGUGAGGCUUAACCUUACAACGCCGAAG
RNAcentral lists this ribosomal RNA (2924 nucleotides) under Klebsiella quasipneumoniae. RNAcentral describes it as "23S ribosomal RNA". It matches the Rfam family "Bacterial large subunit ribosomal RNA". Lineage: Bacteria; Pseudomonadati; Pseudomonadota; Gammaproteobacteria; Enterobacterales; Enterobacteriaceae. The record is from RNAcentral.